CGGAACUGUUUUGAAAGAUUUCUUCGGAAUGAAUUUGAUUUAGUUUAGUGGCGGACGGGUGAGUAACGCGUGAGUAACCUGCCUUCAAGAGGGGGAUAACAUUCUGAAAAGAAUGCUAAUACCGCAUGAUAUAUCGGAAUCACAUGAUUUUGAUAUCAAAGAUUUUAUCGCUUGAAGAUGGACUCGCGUCCGAUUAGUUAGUUGGUGAGGUAACGGCUCACCAAGACCGCGAUCGGUAGCCGGACUGAGAGGUUGAACGGCCACAUUGGGACUGAGACACGGCCCAGACUCCUACGGGAGGCAGCAGUGGGGGAUAUUGCGCAAUGGGGGCAACCCUGACGCAGCAACGCCGCGUGAAGGAUGAAGGUUUUCGGAUUGUAAACUUCUUUUAUUAAGGACGAAAAAUGACGGUACUUAAUGAAUAAGCUCCGGCUAACUACGUGCCAGCAGCCGCGGUAAUACGUAGGGAGCAAGCGUUGUCCGGAUUUACUGGGUGUAAAGGGUGCGUAGGCGGCUUUGCAAGUCAGAUGUGAAAUCUAUGGGCUCAACCCAUAAACUGCAUUUGAAACUGUAGAGCUUGAGUGAAGUAGAGGCAGGCGGAAUUCCCCGUGUAGCGGUGAAAUGCGUAGAGAUGGGGAGGAACACCAGUGGCGAA
This 655-nucleotide ribosomal RNA is filed under the name uncultured bacterium. RNAcentral's name for it is "bacterial SSU rRNA". It matches the Rfam family "Bacterial small subunit ribosomal RNA", at positions 63 to 719 of the family's 1533-position model. The record is from RNAcentral.